This 253-nucleotide ribosomal RNA is filed under the name uncultured bacterium. RNAcentral's name for it is "partial 16S ribosomal RNA". It matches the Rfam family "Bacterial small subunit ribosomal RNA", at positions 524 to 776 of the family's 1533-position model. The record is from RNAcentral.
UACGAAGGGGGCUAGCGUUGUUCGGAAUUACUGGGCGUAAAGCGCGCGCAGGCGGCUAUCCAAGUCAGUGGUGAAAGCCCGGAGCUCAACUCCGGAACUGCCAUUGAAACUGUUUAGCUUGAGGAUGAGAGAGGUGAGUGGAAUUCCCAGUGUAGAGGUGAAAUUCGUAGAUAUUCGCAAGAACACCAGUGGCGAAGGCGGCUCACUGGCCCGGUACUGACGCUGAGGCACGAAAGCGUGGGGAGCAAACAGG